This is a long non-coding RNA of Parus major (Great Tit), 469 nucleotides long. RefSeq lists it as uncharacterized. The transcript has 2 exons. The record is from RefSeq and is a predicted model, not a curated record. Lineage: Eukaryota; Metazoa; Chordata; Aves; Passeriformes; Paridae.
UUUGCAUCCUUGCCUCUGGAAUUGCCCUGCUGGAUUAUCAGCUGCUUGCAGCCACAGUUGUGUUGGAAGCGUGGUUAACAUCAAGGAGCUUUCUUCUAGUGGUAUUCAGCAAGUGGCCUUUCUCACAGGAACUGUGCCAGAAGAUGGCAUUGCUGUACGCAGAGCACUCAUCUCCAUUGCAACAAGUCAUUAGGAGGAGUGGAAAAACUGCAGCCUCCUAGUCCACUAGACUGAGUCAGACUGUCAGGAAAUGAGUUUGCCUUCAUGUUGCAUGUCAAGGACUGUUCCAUUAAAAUAUAUUGUGUGCUAAGGUUGUUUUUGUUUUUAAUUGUUGCUGUUUAACAAGAAGCCUUUGUUUACAAGUCUGGAUUCAUCUGUAGGCCUAGGGGGUGUAUCUCAAUACCCAGAACUCUCUUUAUUUUCAAGUGGAAAAAGGAGACACUAUUAAAAAUCCUGUGUUCACACUGUC